UGGAUCCAGUGUUGCUGUGGCUGUGGUGUAGGCUGGCAGCUGUAGCUCCAGCUCACCCCUCCAGCCUGGGAACGUCCAUGUGGCGCAAGUGUGGCCCUAAAGAGGAAGAAAAAAAACUCCCUGAUUUUUAAAGCACUGGUGAGUAAUUUGUAUUAGGAAGGAAGAGUGAGCAGGAUUGAGCAGAGGGCACAAUGGACAGAGAAAAAGGGAGGAAGGAAGGCCAAACGUGAACCAGAGGACCCAAAUCUAUGGGUUUGCUUUACCCUAUGAUCACCAGUUUGUAACCUCAGUUGUAGUCACAGUGAAAGCUGGUGUAAGAUAAGUAGGCUUUUGAUUUUUUUUUUUUGGUAUGUUUUCCCUUUUCUGUUAUUCUCAUGUUUGUGUGCAAAGCUUGAAACCCAAGCCAGGGAACUAGUCAACUUCUGUGGUCACUUAAUUGCCCCGGUUGGAUCAGACCCAACAAGUGCUGGAAAACUGAUGCUGCCCAUUGUUUUUAAAAUGUCUUCCUUUAUUUUCUUUAUAUUAUUAGCUUUAAAUAUUCCUCUGGACGCACUCUUGCCACCUCCAUGCAGUUAAGCUGGUUCAAUUUCAACGUUGUCAUAAAGUUAAUUUUUUAUAAGAUGAAUCAGGUUAUUAAAUCUAGUAAACCAUUGCCUUCAUUAUUUUGCGCAAACUUUGGCGCUGUGCAGAAUUGGCUUAGCACUACUACAUUUAGCUAAUUAAAGUGGUCAUCAGCCGAGGUACCGCGGGAGUGAGGGAUGCUGUCCUCAUGGGCUUUUCCUGGACUUGAGCAGUAGGUAGCAUUAUUAAACUUUUUUUUUUUAAUUUUAUAAAACUCUACACUCUAGAGAGACAGUUUACUAUAAAAGCGUUAUUGUCCUUCCUGUUAAACCAUUGUCUUGUGAAAUAUCUGUGCUUGGUUUUUGCUGCAAAGGCAGUUGUGCAGGAUGAGAAGAUGGAGUUGUCUCCUGCAGCUUUUUUAAAAGUAGACGAGCAAUGCGAAACACACGGCCUGGAUAGAGGAAGAGAGGUGUAAGACUCGGACAGUAAUUUUCCAUGACACUGGGACAGACUGUGGUCAGGAAUUAGCUAACGGAGAGAGAAGGCUUCAGUGGUGCGCCUGCAGCUGUGCUCUUUGGGGGAAUACAAAGUUCUUUGCCGUAGGUUGUUUGGUCAGGUGAGAUAGCACGACUUAACAGGUUGGUUUGGAAAAAGAAAUGUUGGUAGAACAAGGGCAUGCUUCCCCGCUCAGAUUUCUAGGCAGUGACAUUCAGAACUGCAGCAGGUGGUUUCUUUGUGCGGUUUUAACAUUCACUCAUUGUUUACAAGGAAGUUAAAGGGCCAUUGGUAUGUUGGAAACAACUGGGAUUGUUUUAAAAUGAUCCAGAAUUGUAGCCCUUAGCCACCUUUAAGGAAGCGUUCAUUCCUUUGGCAGGUAGUUAGUGCAUCCUACUGGGGAUUAGUCCCGUGGGAGACAGAGAUGAACAAAGGCGCAGGUUCUAAGGCGUAGACGGUGAUCCUGGUAAAUCAAAUAAAUAAAGCCCCGGGCCCUGCCUGGACCUGUGUUAGAUUGUUGCUUCCUCAACCCAUUAAAAAUGCAGUUGCUAAUGAAUGAUGAGGCCUGGCAAACACCAUCUCUCCACCCUCCCCAUGUAAUUUUUUUAUACUCUUGGAUGAAAAUGUGAUGAAAAAUAUUUCUGAUGAUGGCUCUGACCUGGAAACUUCACAGGGGCCCAGAGUCCAUCAUUUGCAACAAGAUCUGGGUGUGAAAAGCUCUGAGAUUGCAAGUGAAGUCGUUUUUGGCCACUUCAUGCUGCUUCCAUAUGGCUGUCAGCAUUUCAUUAGUCUGAUUGAUGUAGCACGUCAGUCAGCAAGAUUUUGUCCCAUGCCUGCUCCCAUCCAGUUUUGAAACAGCUGGGCUACAAAAGCUGGUGUUUUCCUUGUCUCUCUUCCCUGAAAUGAUCAGGGUACCUUUUUGUUCCAUUUUGUUUUGGGGUUUUUUUGCACUGCUCCUGAAGCACGAGGAAGUUCCCUGGCCAGGGAUGGAACCCGAGCCACGCAGUGACAAGACCAAAUAUUUAACUACUAGGCCGCCAGGGAACUCCCUGAUGUGGGUACUUUUUGCUCGUUGGUAAUAAGGGAUGAAAUUGGCAUCGUGGAUCAAAAUGAGUCAAUUUCAAAUUAUUGGUUGUUUUUGGUCUCAUAGAUGGGGCUUUAAGCAUCUUUUAGCGCCAUACACCAAAGAGGAGACAAACAGAUUUAGAUGGGCAGUAUCUCAGAUUUGCAACUUUGUGUGUGUGUGUGUGUGUGUUAUUUUAACCUCAGAUUCAACUGCAGGAGGUUAUUAUUAGAUAACGGUGAGUAUCGUGGGGUAUAGAACUUGGCAUAAACAAUAGAGUUGAAGUGUGUUCUAGAGCCAGUACUCAGACAAAUGGAAUGGUAGCUCUUGUAGCUAAUUCCUUUAAAUUCUGGUUGGUGUUAAAGCCGGUUAGCUUGUGGGUUGCUGUUAGAAGCAGGUUGAGGAGAGAGUGGUAAUUUUUCAGUCAUAAUGGCUGUACUAUAUUUGCUAGUUCAUACAAAUCAGAGAGAAGGCAAAGGACUUGGCACCAAAGUGGGUUUUGGAAGGAAUUGGGAAGUAGCAUUUGUUGCCCACCUUCUAUGGUUGUAGUAGGUCGUGGGGUAUGUUGACUGUUUACGCCCCGUUUGAUGAAAAGGGAACCGAGCUUCUGAUGAAAGGCACAGACUUGGGUCUGAUGGCUGAUAAAUUACCUAGAGCUAGGAUCCGCAGGUCAACGCAAAUGUGUCAAGCUCCUGAGUCUGAGUUGUUUGUUCUGCCGUGCUGGUUUUCCUUGAGAACUCGUUUCUGUGUGUAGACUGGCCUCCAAGAAGGUUAGAAUAUGUGGAAGAGAUAUGAUGAAUGACCUUGGCUUGACCCUUUCCCAUGGCAAUCUCAGUCAGACAGUGGCGCUCCCGUUCUUCAUACGUGCUCACGUUAUCUUGGAACCCAUCUGCGGUCAUUUGACGGAGCUUGCGCUGAAUUGCAUUGCUGCCUCCUCUGGCAGACCUGGUUACGUUGGUGUGGCAGUGGACUCUGUGUGAUCGUCCACACAGCUCGCGAGAUACCAUAUUUCACACUUGAGAGCAGUGGUGGGGUGUUCAGGCUCUGGAGUUCAACUCCUCCCCUCUCCUUCCUUUCCCUCCUCCUCUCUCUUUGAAACCUGGAGUGUGUAAGAGCUCUAGUUGCUCUGCUUCCUUGCCAGCAUUUUGUGUGGUCUUUAUUUAUUUAUUUAUUUAAUUUCUAAAAUAUUUUAGUCAUGGAAGUAGUAGCGGUGUCGUAUUAUCUCAUUGUAUCUUUAACUUGCAUUUCCCUGAUGACUAAGGAGUUCAGGCCUUAUCCAGUGGUUGAGUUUUUCUUUUUCUAAUAUGUGGAAGAGUUCAUGGAAGAUGGUGUUUUUAGUUUCUUAAAUGUUCGGUAGAGUUUACUGACCGAAAUAGACAAAAUAGACACAGAAUUUUGAGAAUUUUCUUUAAACACGGAGAAUUGUUCAGGUUUUUUCUCUCUCCUUGCAACAGUUUUUAAGUAAUGUCUUCCUGGGAAUUUGUCUUUUUUUGCCCUUAUCCUUUUAAGAUCUUUUUAGGGUUUGUAGGAUAUGGAUUGAACCUGCAACCUCAUGGUUCCUACUCAGAUUCUUUUCUGCUGCUCCACAUCGGGAACUCCCGCAAACACACUUUUGCAAGGAGCAUGUUAUAUGUUGUAUCCAGUCUUAUAGUCUUCGUUUUUUGAUUAUAGUUUUUAGUCCAUUUAUCUUUAAUGUAAUCACAGGUAUAGUUGGGGUUAAAUGUACUACUUUAUUAUGGACUUUGUAUCUAAUUUAUUUUACAUUCCUUUUUCUCUCCUUUUUUGUUUACUUUUUAUUCUACUUCCCUUUUCUAUUUACAUGUUAAAUUUGUAUUCUCUUAGCAGUAAUUGAGAUUGCAGCCUAUGUAUUUGUCUUAUUAACGUCUUAGGUAAAUUUGUACUUGAUUAUUAACUGGACAGUUCGGGUCUUAGACUACUUUAAUCCCUAGGUUAUGUGUCAUUAUUAUCAAUAUAGUAAUUCUCACUGGGUAUUCUCAAAUUCUUAAAAUAUUUGUAUUAUUAUUUAGAUUCUUUUCCCAUAUAUUUAGCCUUUAUGUUGAUCCAUUACUUCCUGCAUCUCCAGAUUUCUGUCUAGGGCCAUUUUCCUCCUUUCCAGAGAACAUCCUUCAGUAUUUCUUUUAGUGUAGAUCUGCUUCUGAUAUAUUUCCUCAGCUUUUGUUUAUUUAAAAAUUGGGUUCACUUUUAUUUUUGAAGGAUAUUUUUAUUGGGUAUGGUAGCACCAGAUACGAGCCCCUACCUUUUGGCCUUUUAACUUUUCCAGAUGUUGGCCCCCAGAAUUCUCGAUUGUGGUGUCCCUUUGAUUCCUUCAAAGCGGUGUGUGUGUGUGUGUGUGUGUGUGUUGCUGUCGUCGUCGUGCACCUUUUCAAAUUGUUCCAGUGGGAGGGUUUGUCCAGACAACCUAGUUGCCAUUGUGUUGCUGGGAGCAGAAGUUCUGGAAACAUUUAAAACAGCACAGGGCACAUUGUCUGGACCUUAACAGAUGUUGUUUGUUAGUUUUAGUUUCCAGAUUUGUUUUCUUUUAUUAGACUGUAAAUGCUUUGAGGGCCAAGUCUUUGUCUUUAUCUAUUCUUAUUCUUUAUAUUUAGCACAGGAUCUGGUUGUUAUUAAGCAAUGGUUAAACGGCUGGCUGUGCAGUGAGCUCUUCCUUCUGUGGCUUGGCCUUCACCUCUGACCUGUGUGUGUUCCUGGGGCAGGUUUUCUCAACCUCAACACUGUUGACAUUUUUUUUUUUUUUAAUUAUACUCAAGUAUAGUUGAUUUGCAAUGUUGUGUUAAUUUCUCCUGUUGACACUUGAGUGCAAUGAUUCUUUGCUGUGGGGUCUGUCCUCAGCAUUGUAGGAUAUUUUGCAGCACUCCUGGCCUUGACCCUCUAGGUAUCAGUAGCAGGCUAACCGCAGCUGCAGCCACUGACACUCUCUCUAGCUGUUUGCAAAUAUCUGCUGGGGGUAACUGUGUCUGGUUGAGAACCACUGGGGUAAUGUGUAUGGUGCUUGAUAAAGGCCGGCUUUGCAGUUGUGUUUCUGAUGUCGACUUUCCUUGUCACUGUAGGGUUUGAGACCGCCAAAUCUUUUGCCCUCCAUGGAGCACACGUGAUCCUGGCCUGUAGGAAUAUGACGAGAGCCAACGAAGCUGUGUCGCGCAUUUUAGGAGAAUGGGUAAGUGAGCACUUGACUAGUUUUUGUUUUUGUUUUUAAUUUUCAAAUGCACAUACUGGGAUCAACACAUGGAGGUUUCUAGAGUGCGUAAAGUUUAUUGCUCUCGGAAUAAUGUUUUCUUUGUUUUUAAGGUCAUAUUCACUUUGUUUAUUUUAUGAAUGAAAGGACAAGCAAGCCCGUUUAUAGUUCGUUGUCAGUGUCCUCUGCUUCAUUAGUCAGAGGUUUGAAACCGUUUACUCACUUAGCUCAUUUAUUAAGAAAAAUAAAAUGUGGUUAACGCCCAUGAGUGCAACUGAGAGGUUGUUAUGCUCAUGGUUUUUAAGAUGACAAAAGAGCAGGCUUUACCCCUGACUGUGGUUUUUCCUUUUUGCUUUCCUCUCUCUGAGCAGAGCUUGGUGCUGAUGAGUCUGUGCACAAACGUUUGUUGAGGGCCUUCAGUGCUCUUGGGUUUAAGGGCACAGCACCAAGUAACACAGAGUAUGUGCCCUCCUGGGCUUCUAGGUAGGAGAAACAGACCAUGAAGGGAUAAUUACAUUCAAUAUUGAACGUAGUGUCAAGUUGUUCGAAAUGCAGGGCAGGACAGUAAAGCAGACUGAGGGACCAGGUGUUGACAAUGUGGCCUAUUUCAGACGGGGUGGUCAACAGAGACCCCUCUAAAUUGGUGAGACUAAAAAAAAAAAAAAAAAAAAAAAAA
Molecule: long non-coding RNA, 5988 nt
Filed under: Sus scrofa (pig)
Lineage: Eukaryota; Metazoa; Chordata; Mammalia; Artiodactyla; Suidae
Description: lncRNA (ENSSSCG00065006694.1)
Source: RNAcentral